GACAGAGGGUGCAAACGUUGUUCGGAAUUACUGGGCGUAAAGCGCGCGUAGGCGGUUUUGCAAGCCAGAGGUGAAAUGCCUGAGCUCAACUUAGGAAUUGCCUUUGGGACUGCGAGGCUUUGAGGACUGGAGAGGUGAGUGGAAUUCCCAGUGUAGAGGUGAAAUUCGUAGAUAUUGGGAAGAACACCGGUGGCGAAGGCGGCUCACUGGCCAGUCUCUGACGCUGCAGCGCGAAAGCGUGGGGAUCAAACAGG
RNAcentral lists this ribosomal RNA (254 nucleotides) under uncultured bacterium. Its description in RNAcentral is "partial 16S ribosomal RNA". It matches the Rfam family "Bacterial small subunit ribosomal RNA", at positions 524 to 776 of the family's 1533-position model. The record is from RNAcentral.